Molecule: non-coding RNA, 446 nt
Organism: Camellia sinensis
Lineage: Eukaryota; Viridiplantae; Streptophyta; Magnoliopsida; Ericales; Theaceae
Source: RefSeq, a predicted model, not a curated record
UGCUGACGAUGCAGACUUCCAAGCUGAGUGGGAAUCAGCCAAGAUGGCUGACAAGCAGCGAUUAGCUCAGUUCAUAUUUCAAGUGACAGGUGUAAGCAUUGACCCAAAUAGCCUCUUUGACUCACAGUUCAAGUGGAUCCAUGAAUAUAAAAGACAGCUGCUAAAUAUUAUGGGUGCGGUCUAUAGGUACAAGAAGUUAAAAGGUACAAGAAGUUAAAGAUUGGAUUGGGGUGAAAUUUUUGACGUGCAACAAUGAUGUAAUUUGCUUGAAUGUUCAUUUUGUUUGCUAAGGAUACACAUACUUUGUGGAGUUGCACUAGUUAUUGUUAGAUGUUUGGUAGAAUUGUAUAAGUUAUAACUUUUGGAUAUUUUGUGGAUAUUGAACUAUUUUAUUGUAUUAGGAUGAAAUUAUUUAUAAUGAUGAAUGGAUAUUUUCAUUUUGUUAA